AAGUUGAAAAAUUGCAGGUAAGUAUAUCUAAUGUUGUCAACGAAUUGAAAUCACCUGUCCAGCAUUCACGACAUAGUCAUGUCGUUUGUCCCAGUAUUCAUUCACUUUAGCAUAUAAACCCGUUUUUUUCAAUUUUUUUUUGUUCUUGCUAAGUGAUAAUAUGGGAUGUAUCUUCAUAUUUGGCAUCUCAUUAAGUAUGCACACCUCCGCCAGUCCCAAUUGCUUAAA
RNAcentral lists this long non-coding RNA (228 nucleotides) under Eutrema salsugineum. RNAcentral describes it as "long non-coding RNA (ESAL_LNC000306)". The record is from RNAcentral. Lineage: Eukaryota; Viridiplantae; Streptophyta; Magnoliopsida; Brassicales; Brassicaceae.